AUGGCGGCCUUACCCACAACACCCCUGUCCCCACGGUCGUCCCUGACGUCUUCUCCGCCCCCUCUUCCACCAGCAACGCCCAGGAGGUCCUCGAGCUCAUCCCCGACGCGUCUCGCGAGGGCGCCCGUCAUCUGUUCGACAGAUGGCUCGAACCAAGUCCUCGCGGGUGUCUUGACUCCACAACCGGUGCGUCCUAUGGGCACGGCAGCCGAUGGCGGCCUCACCGAUGACGCCAGAGUCCCCACGGUCAUCCGCGACUCCUUCUCCUCCACCACUAAGGCCCAGGAGGUCAUCGCGACCCCCCAUGGUGCGUCCCUGGACUCCAUCAACCCGAUGCCCAUGACCUGUUUGACGACUGGCUCGACCCAGGUCGACGCCGUCGCCAACGUCGAUGAGGCCCAAGACGCCGCCACCACCGUCCACCCGGAGCACGCGGACAUCGUCAGCUACACGGAGGUAUCGCAGCUCAUACCGGUGCAGGCAACGCUCUCCAUCGACAUCAGCACCUGCUCUGCCGAGGUCAUUUCCUCAACGGCAACCACCACCGACACCAUCCCCAUGGCAACCAAACCAGCUCCGACCAAGUGCUCGGCAGAAGCUUCUGCCCACGCGAGUGUCUGGGUGCAGCCUCCGAUCGUCACCAUCGACAGUGUCGACGAGACAUAUGACACCACCACCGAACACCUGCACCCGCCUUCCUUCGAACAUCGACCAUGGCCACGGCCUGUACAAGUGCAGAUCAAUCACGCGGGACAUCUCUUCAGGCCAAGUCCGUGGCCGUCGUUCACACCUCUGUCAAACACAACCUACCCGGAAAGGCCAUGUUCAGGUAUACAUCGUCAAUCACAUGGAGGUCCCUGCUUCAGUCCUUGGUUAAUUAGGUUGAUGUUCAGAGAUGUUCCCCUGGAGGAGCCUAUCCAUUGUUUUCCAGCUCCAGAGAUGCAGCUUGAGUGUAAAAUUGGGUUCAGCUAUGGGCUUGUUCUGUCCCUGAUCAGAAAAAUGGCAUCCCCUCAAUCAAACAAGUAUUCAUAUUGA
This 1035-nucleotide ribosomal RNA is filed under the name Triticum aestivum (bread wheat). RNAcentral's name for it is "partial small subunit ribosomal RNA". The record is from RNAcentral. Lineage: Eukaryota; Viridiplantae; Streptophyta; Magnoliopsida; Poales; Poaceae.